AGUGAACGCUGGCGGUAGGCCUAACACAUGCAAGUCGAACGGCAGCACAGUAAGAGCUUGCUCUUACGGGUGGCGAGUGGCGGACGGGUGAGGAAUACAUCGGAAUCUACUUUUUCGUGGGGGAUAAUGUAGGGAAACUUACGCUAAUACCGCAUACGACCUACGGGUGAAAGCAGGGGAUCUUCGGACCUUGCGCGAUUGAAUGAGCCGAUGUCGGAUUAGCUAGUUGGCGGGGUAAAGGCCCACCAAGGCGACGAUCCGUAGCUGGUCUGAGAGGAUGAUCAGCCACACUGGAACUGAGACACGGUCCAGACUCCUACGGGAGGCGGCAGUGGGGAAUAUUGGACAAUGGGCGCAAGCCUGAUCCAGCCAUACCGCGUGGGUGAAGAAGGCCUUCGGGUUGUAAAGCCCUUUUGUUGGGAAAGAAAAGCAGCAGGUUAACACCCCGCUGUUCUGACGGUACCCAAAGAAUAAGCACCGGCUAACUUCGUG
RNAcentral lists this ribosomal RNA (492 nucleotides) under uncultured bacterium. RNAcentral's name for it is "partial 16S ribosomal RNA". It matches the Rfam family "Bacterial small subunit ribosomal RNA", at positions 29 to 507 of the family's 1533-position model. The record is from RNAcentral.